CCUACGGGAGGCAGCAGUGGGGAAUCUUGCACAAUGGACGAAAGUCUGAUGCAGCGACGCCGCGUGGGUGAUGAAGGCCUUCGGGUUGUAAAGCCCUGUGGAAUGAGACGAAAAGGCUACGGUCAAACAGGCCGUGGUUUUGACGGUAUCGUUUUAGCAAGCACCGGCUAACUCUGUGCCAGCAGCCGCGGUAAUACAGAGGGUGCAAACGUUGCUCGGAAUUACUGGGCGUAAAGCGCGAGUAGGUGGCUAUGCCAGUCCGAUGUGAAAGCCCAGGGCUCAACCCUGGAAGUGCAUUGGAUACUACAUAGCUGGAGUCUUGAAGAGGAGAGCGGAAUUCUUGGUGUAGAGGUGAAAUUCGUAGAUAUCAAGAGGAACAUCUGAGGCGAAGGCGGCUCUCUGGGCAAGUACUGACACUGAGACGCGAAAGCGUGGGGAGCAAACAGGAUUAGAUACCCUGGUAGUCCACGCUGUAAACCGAUGAGAACCUGGCCGUCGCGGGUAUAGACCCCUGCGUGGNGAGACACGCGUAGUUACGUCCGCCGUCGGAGGUACGGCCGGCCGACGGACGUAAACCGUAACCGAACGUAGAAGUUAGUACGGACGUUAGGAGACGNGGCCGACGGACGACGACGAGGGGAGGUUAGGAG
Molecule: ribosomal RNA, 650 nt
Filed under: uncultured bacterium
Lineage: Bacteria
Description: bacterial SSU rRNA
Rfam family: Bacterial small subunit ribosomal RNA (bases 1-547)
Source: RNAcentral